GCGCAUUAGCUAGUUGGUGAGGUAACGGCUCACCAAGGCCACGAUGCGUAGCCGACCUGAGAGGGUGAUCGGCCACAUUGGAACUGAGACACGGUCCAGACUCCUACGGGAGGCAGCAGUGGGGAAUAUUGCACAAUGGGCGAAAGCCUGAUGCAGCAACGCCGCGUGAGUGAUGAAGGCUUUCGAGUCGUAAAGCUCUUUGAUCAGGGAUGAUAAUGACAGUACCUGAAAAACAAGCCACGGCUAACUACGUGCCAGCAGCCGCGGUAAUACGUAGGUGGCGAGCGUUGUCCGGAAUUACUGGGCGUAAAGGAUGCGUAGGUGGAUAUUUAAGUGGGAUGUGAAAUCCCCGGGCUCAACCCGGGAACUGCAUUCCAAACUGGAUAUCUAGAGUGCAGGAGAGGAAAGCGGAAUUCCUAGUGUAGCGGUGAAAUGCGUAGAUAUUAGGAGGAACACCAGUGGCGAAGGCGGCUUUCUGGACUGUAACUGACACUGAGGCAUGAAAGCGUGGGUAGCAAACGGGAUUAGAUACCCUGGUAGUCCACGCCGUAAACGAUGGGUACUAGGUGUAGGAGGUAUCGACCCCUUCUGUGCCGUCGUUAACACAAUAAGUACCCCGCCUGGGGAGUACGGUCGCAAGACUAAAACUCAAAGGAAUUGACGGGGGCCCGCACAAGCAGCGGAGCAUGUGGUUUAAUUCGAAGCAACGCGAAGACCUUACCUAGACUUGACAUCUCCUGAUUUACUCUUAAUCGAGGAAGCCUUUCGGGCAGAAGACAGUUGUGCAUGAUGUCGUCAGCUCGUGUCGU
Molecule: ribosomal RNA, 809 nt
Filed under: uncultured Clostridium sp.
Lineage: Bacteria; Bacillati; Bacillota; Clostridia; Eubacteriales; Clostridiaceae
Description: bacterial SSU rRNA
Rfam family: Bacterial small subunit ribosomal RNA
Source: RNAcentral